AGCAAACCCCAAGACAACAAUGUGAGUAACUGGGGAGGAGCUGCUUCUGUGAAACAGACAGGAACAGGGUGGAUCGGGGGGCCGGUACCAGUCAAACAGAAGGACAGCAGUGAGGCAACUGGCUGGGAAGAACCCUCUCCACCGUCCAUUCGCCGCAAAAUGGAAAUUGAUGAUGGUACCUCAGCUUGGGGGGACCCAAGCAACUAUAACAAUAAAACUGUAAACAUGUGGGAUAGAAACAACCCGGUCAUCCAGAGCAGUACCACGACCAAUACCACCACCACCACCACCACCACGAGCAACACCACACACAGGGUGGAGACGCCGCCACCACACCAGGCCAGUACUCAGCUGAAUCGAUCACCGUUGCUCGGUCCAGUUUCAUCAGGCUGGGGAGAAAUGCCUAAUGUUCACUCAAAGACUGAAAACUCUUGGGGAGAACCAUCCUCCCCUUCUACCCUGGUGGAUAAUGGCACAGCAGCAUGGGGGAAGCCACCCAGCAGUGGCAGCGGGUGGGGAGAUCACCCUACCGAGCCGCCGGUGGCAUUUGGAAGAGCUGGUGCACCUGUUGCUGCCUCAGCCCUGUGCAAACCAGCUUCAAAAUCUAUGCAAGAAGGCUGGGGCAGUGGUGGGGAUGAAAUGAACCUCAGUACCAGCCAGUGGGAGGAUGAAGAAGGGGACGUGUGGAAUAAUGCUGCUUCCCAAGAAAGCACCUCCUCCUGCAGUUCCUGGGGGAACGCCCCCAAAAAAGGACUUCAAAAGGGCAUGAAGACGUCUGGCAAGCAGGAUGAGGCCUGGAUCAUGAGCCGGCUGAUCAAACAACUCACAGACAUGGGCUUCCCGAGAGAGCCAGCUGAGGAGGCCUUGAAGAGUAACAAUAUGAAUCUUGAUCAGGCCAUGAGCGCUCUGCUGGAAAAGAAGGUGGACGUGGACAAGCGUGGGCUGGGAGUGACCGACCAUAAUGGAAUGGCCGCCAAGCCCCUCGGCUGCCGCCCGCCAAUCUCCAAAGAGUCUUCCGUGGACCGCCCCACCUUUCUUGACAAGGAUGGCGGCCUCGUGGAAGAGCCCACGCCUUCACCGUUCUUGCCUUCCCCAAGCCUGAAGCUCCCCCUUUCACACAGUGCACUCCCCAGUCAGGCCCUGGGUGGGAUUGCCUCCGGGCUGGGCAUGCAAAACUUGAAUUCUUCUAGACAGGUAAGGCUGUUUGGGGAGAGCAAAAUGUGGCCUUUGUUUUACCUGCCUUCUAAAAAAUGUGUUUGAGACAUAAACUUUCUUAUUUAUAGUUCAUACCUCUAUUUUUAAAUAUGACUGAAAAAGUAGUUGAAAUACUACCAGGAUUUCCUUUCAGGUGACUUACUGGAGUCAAGAGUUGAAGUAGGAAAUGCUUUAGCUAUAUUUAUGCUUACACUUAAGUAAAACGUGUUUGAGCUCUCAGCACCCUUGGUGCUAACUUGGGACUGGCUAAAGUGAUGAUGUGUUGCACAGUGGUCUUCGGCUGCCGCAUCCAUCCAGAGGUCCCGGUAGUGCCCACGCUGUUUCCUCAUGGCAGCCAGAACGACGUCACAUCUGUUGAUCUGCGAGAAAGCAGCACAUUCUCCCCUUUUCCCACAAAUAAAGAUGACAUCUCUUGCAAGGUG
This 1637-nucleotide small RNA is filed under the name Pongo abelii (Sumatran orangutan). RNAcentral describes it as "retained intron". Lineage: Eukaryota; Metazoa; Chordata; Mammalia; Primates; Hominidae. The record is from RNAcentral.